CAGCAGUAGCCGCGGUAAUACAGAGGGUGCGAGCGUUAAUCGGAUUUACUGGGCGUAAAGCGUGCGUAGGCGGCUAAUUGAGUCGGAUGUGAAAUCCCCGAGCUUAACUUGGGAAUUGCAUUCGAUACUGGUUAGCUAGAGUGUGGGAGAGGAUGGUAGAAUUCCAGGUGUAGCGGUGAAAUGCGUAGAGAUCUGGAGGAAUACCGAUGGCGAAGGCAGCCAUCUGGCCUAACACUGACGCUGAGGUACGAAAGCAUGGGGAGCAAACAGGAUUAGAUACCCGUGUAGUCCCUGUCUCUUAUAC
RNAcentral lists this ribosomal RNA (304 nucleotides) under uncultured bacterium. RNAcentral's name for it is "partial 16S ribosomal RNA". It matches the Rfam family "Bacterial small subunit ribosomal RNA", at positions 506 to 807 of the family's 1533-position model. The record is from RNAcentral.